RNAcentral lists this ribosomal RNA (253 nucleotides) under uncultured bacterium. RNAcentral's name for it is "partial 16S ribosomal RNA". It matches the Rfam family "Bacterial small subunit ribosomal RNA", at positions 524 to 776 of the family's 1533-position model. The record is from RNAcentral.
GACAGAGGGUGCAAACGUUGUUCGGAAUUACUGGGCGUAAAGCGCACGUAGGCGGCUUUGCAAGUUAGAGGUGAAAGCCCGGGGCUCAACCCCGGAAUUGCCUUUAAAACUGCAUCGCUAGAAUUGUGGAGAGGUAAGUGGAAUUCCGAGUGUAGAGGUGAAAUUCGUAGAUAUUCGGAAGAACACCAGUGGCGAAGGCGACUUACUGGACACAUAUUGACGCUGAGGUGCGAAAGCGUGGGGAGCAAACAGG